This 882-nucleotide long non-coding RNA is filed under the name Apteryx owenii (little spotted kiwi). Its description in RNAcentral is "lncRNA (ENSAOWG00000000130.1)". The record is from RNAcentral. Lineage: Eukaryota; Metazoa; Chordata; Aves; Apterygiformes; Apterygidae.
AAAAAACUCAAAUAAAGCUGCAAAGCAGCUGCGUGAGGGCAGCGCGUGGGCUGGGGCGCAGGGCAGGAGCCGGGGCAGAGCCGCCGCCGCUUCCCUCCGUCUCCGCCUGCGUCCGCGCCCGCCGUGCAAACACUGCGGCGGGUUUUGGGGAGGUGCAGAGCGGGGCCGAUAGCCCCCGCGUGCGCCCGGCGCGUCCCCGUCCCCUUCGGAAGCGCUGCUCUGCGCCACGGCUGUCCAUGGGAUCGGGGCAGCGGGGCUUUGCUGUCGCAGCCUUUCGGGUUGCCAGCAGCCGUUGCACGGCCGGUGCGGGGAUGCGGCUGGUGCCCCGGCUCCGCUCCGGCGUCCCCAUGCCAGAGGGAAUCCCGCCUGCUGCCCCCGGCCGCGUUGAGCCGCCUCUGGGUACCAGAAUACGCUGGGAGGAAGCCAAGGACAGCAGCGCUGCGCCCUGCCCUGGCAUCGCCCCGCCGGACCCCGCGCGGGAGGACAGAGCACGAGGGGCUCCACUCGGCGGCCGCUGAACCCCAACCUGGCCGAAGUCGAGCGCGCACGUAGGCAUCUUCCCGGGUUUCCAGCUGCUGAGCACGCAGGGACGUUAGGAGCGGAGCUGAAAAUACGCCCGUAAUACAGGAGAGAAAAGGUGAGAUUUAACACCGGGUUUUCCGGGGCCGGCUGCUGGCCCUGGCCGUAUGCUGUGCCCGGCCUGGCAGCGGCGGAGGCGCGUGUUUAACUGCAUGCAGGAUUUCAUCAGAAGCAUGCAAUUUGCUGGGUUCUCAGGAGAUAAAAGAGAAGGGCCAUAAUAUAUGCAGUGAUGGGAAGAUCUCAAAGCUAUUAAUGAGCUGUUAAUGAGCAUAAUCCUAAUUUUUUCCCUGGAGGUAGGUGGGU